RNAcentral lists this long non-coding RNA (384 nucleotides) under Sarcophilus harrisii (Tasmanian devil). Its description in RNAcentral is "lncRNA (ENSSHAG00000023034.1)". The record is from RNAcentral. Lineage: Eukaryota; Metazoa; Chordata; Mammalia; Dasyuromorphia; Dasyuridae.
GAGCCAAUAAAUGCCGCGGGAGGGCGGGAUCUCGAGAAGGAAGAGCCAAUGACUGAGCAGCUGCGAGGGCGAAGCCGGAGGAAAGAACCAAGAUGGCGGCGCCCAGGGCGCUUCUCAGAGCUGGCCUUCCCACAUGGUCAGGAGGAGGGACCCUGAGCAGCCAGAGUAACUUUGGCUACCGCCCGAACCCCAUCUAUGACCUGAGCCCCGGCCGUGACCGCCAGCGGGGCCUGAUGGCCACCAUGGCGUCUCGAUUCUCCGACAUAGAACAUUUACGCGAUUUGAUCGCCCGUUUCCGGAGCUGGAACCUGUAUAGUAUGAACAAGGUGUUCGGCACCAUCUUGAGAAUGCCACAGGCGGACGUGGCGGCUAGCCUUCUCCUGC